RNAcentral lists this ribosomal RNA (489 nucleotides) under uncultured Syntrophomonas sp. RNAcentral describes it as "bacterial SSU rRNA". It matches the Rfam family "Bacterial small subunit ribosomal RNA", at positions 907 to 1392 of the family's 1533-position model. Lineage: Bacteria; Bacillati; Bacillota; Clostridia; Eubacteriales; Syntrophomonadaceae. The record is from RNAcentral.
GAAUUGACGGGGGCCCGCACAAGCGGUGGAGCAUGUGGUUUAAUUCGAUGCAACGCGAAGAACCUUACCAGGUCUUGACAUCCAGAGAAUCCUUUGGAAACAAGGGAGUGCCUUUUUAAGGAGCUCUGAGACAGGUGGUGCAUGGUUGUCGUCAGCUCGUGUCGUGAGAUGUUGGGUUAAGUCCCGCAACGAGCGCAACCCUUGCUAUUAGUUGCUAACAGGUGAUGCUGAGCACUCUAAUGGGACUGCCCGUGACAAGCGGGAGGAAGGUGGGGAUGACGUCAAAUCAUCAUGCCCUUUAUGAUCUGGGCUACACACGUGCUACAAUGGGUGGUACAGAGAGCUGCGAAGCCGUGAGGUGGAGCGAAUCUCAAAAAGCCAUUCUCAGUUCGGAUUGCAGUCUGCAACUCGACUGCAUGAAGUCGGAAUCGCUAGUAAUCGCGAAUCAGCACGUCGCGGUGAAUGCGUUCCCGGGCCUUGUACACACCG